Molecule: long non-coding RNA, 1644 nt
Organism: Alligator mississippiensis (American alligator)
Lineage: Eukaryota; Metazoa; Chordata; Crocodylia; Alligatoridae
Exons: 2
Source: RefSeq, a predicted model, not a curated record
UUGGCGACCUUCCUGUAACUCAGGGCCAGGUCUCUGCUCCUCUGUUCUGCUGCUCCUGGCAUUAUGAGAUGUGCCCCCUGCACCCUGUAAACAGGGCUGCACCCCCACCCCCUCUGACCUUGGGGGAGGAGGCCUCCUUUAGCCCUUUGGGCUCUGUGGCUUCCAUGGUGGGAGGCUGAUGUCGUGGCCCAUAUGUCCCCAGACAUGGGGCAGCUUUGACCCCUGAUCAAGACCGCCUGAGGCACCUGUCAGCUGGCAUUCAGGUCUCUGCAGGUUUUCUCUGGGCUUCAUGCCCCAGCCGCUGCCAGCUGUGUGCAGGGAGCACCGCCCUGUAAGCAGGGUUUCCGGUGUUGGCGGUCACUGUUCACGGUGCCGCCCUAGCAGUUCUGUCCAGAGUCCUGGCCCAUCGUGCUCGGCUUCUGGCUGCCCGGGAUGUCAGCAGCCCAGGCUGGAGACAUCUGCCACGGUUCCAGGUAAGGCUAAGGAGAGACAGAGGUUGGGUCCUAUACUCUGGUUUCUGACGUGCUGACAGUGUCUCUUUGGUUUUUAAGGUCGUGCAGAAGACAGCAGAUGAGCAAUCCAAGGAAGGAAGAAACCCUCGCCUGCCCAGCAGGAGGGAAAGGUCCCUGAAGGGCAGCUGGAGAGGAAGGAAUGGAAGCUGGAGAAGACAGCCCGGGAACAAGAAGUGUGGGUCGGGGUGGGCAGGAGGAAGGGGAAUGUUGAAUGUCUGCUUAGAUAAGUACAGAUGGAGGCUGUUGAGUGCAUCUCUACACUUUCACACACCCUUUAGGAGCAAGCGGCCGCAGGCUUCAAGUUGCACCGUGCACUCGGUCUUGGGUUGGCCCCGAUUGUGUGCAGGGCGGUUGAGUCUUUGUACUAGUUGCGUGUCUUGAUAUGGAGCAGUCAAGGGUUUUGCAGGUUGUUUGGCUUCGCUAGUUAUGCAGUGGAUCGGAAUAGAUGUGCGAUCAAAAGGCGAAGGGUUUUCUCGGUUGGGUUGUUGAGCGGUUCUCGGUGUUAGCGUAGGAACACAGGUUUGUGCUCGGUUCUGUUUGUGGCUUGGCUGUAGCUUGCUUAGGCUGUAGGUUGCGGGGCCAGCUCGGGCUGUUUGUGGUGAACUUUGUUUGCGUCUGUAAAUUAAGACUCCACGAGUGUUUGAAAGUGUUUAAUCUCCAGCUCCACGGCCAGUGAGGAUGAAGAAGUUGUCUUGUGUCCAAAGGAUCCUAAAGGUAGUUGGCGUGGUCAACAUCAAACCGGAAGAAGUCAGCUGACCUAAGAAGUGCACAAUUGAACAAUAAAUGGACUAAGAAAUCUUACCUCGUAUCUCGUGCUUUUCUAUGCUGUGAAGAUUUGGCCACGGGCCUUUCCUGGUAAGAGCUGGCUGAAGGAUGAACAUUUUCAGAGUGUCUGCUGAUCCGACCUGUGUUCUGACUUGUGCAAUGCAAAUAUUUCCCCUUCAGUUUGACCAGUGGUGAAAGAAUGUGUAACACAUGGUUCCUAAUCUUCAGUUGACAAUUGUUAAUGCACUUUUUUUUUUUUUGAAGAAAUAAAAUAUCAGGUCCAUUGAAGUUGUGAUGCUUUGUAUAAUUUGGUGGAGUUCAGCAGUUCCUUGUCUAAAAAGUAAAAAUGGUCCCAAUAGAAAUAAAA